Molecule: ribosomal RNA, 449 nt
Filed under: uncultured bacterium
Lineage: Bacteria
Description: bacterial SSU rRNA
Rfam family: Bacterial small subunit ribosomal RNA
Source: RNAcentral
GACCAGACUCCUACGGGAGGCAGCAGGGGGGAAUAUUGCACAAUGGGGGAAACCCUGAUGCAGCGACGCCGCGUGAGUGAAGAAGUAUUUCGGUAUGUAAAGCUCUAUCAGCAGGGAAGAAAAUGACGGUACCUGACUAAGAAGCCCCGGCUAACUACGUGCCAGCAGCCGCGGUAAUACGUAGGGGGCAAGCGUUAUCCGGAUUUACUGGGUGUAAAGGGAGCGUAGACGGCGUGGCAAGUCAGAUGUGAAAGCCCGGGGCUCAACCCCGGGACUGCAUUUGAAACUGUCAGGCUGGAGUGCAGGAGAGGUAAGUGGAAUUCCUAGUGUAGCGGUGAAAUGCGUAGAUAUUAGGAGGAACACCAGUGGCGAAGGCGGCUUACUGGACUGUAACUGACGUUGAGGCUCGAAAGCGUGGGGAGCAAACAGGAUUAGAUACCCGGGUAAAG